GACGAACGCUGGCGGCGUGCUUAACACAUGCAAGUCGAACGGAGUUUUGCUUAGCACCGGGUUCUCGCAGAAGCGAGGGCCGGGUGCUGAGCAAGACUUAGUGGCGGACGGGUGAGUAACGCGUGAGCAAUCUGCCUUUAAGAGGGGGAUAACACAGGGAAACCUGUGCUAAUACCGCAUGAAGUCAAUGAAUAGCAUUUUUUAUUGACCAAAGGAGAAAUCCGCUUAAAGAUGAGCUCGCGUCCGAUUAGCUAGUUGGUGAGGUAACGGCCCACCAAGGCGAUGAUCGGUAGCCGGACUGAGAGGUUGAACGGCCACAUUGGGACUGAGAUACGGCCCAGACUCCUACGGGAGGCAGCAGUGGGGGAUAUUGCGCAAUGGGGGAAACCCUGACGCAGCAACGCCGCGUGAAGGAAGAAGGUCUUCGGAUUGUAAACUUUUGUCUUCAGGGACGAAUAAAUGACGGUACCUGAGGAGGAAGCCACGGCUAACUACGUG
Molecule: ribosomal RNA, 498 nt
Filed under: uncultured organism
Description: bacterial SSU rRNA
Rfam family: Bacterial small subunit ribosomal RNA
Source: RNAcentral